RNAcentral lists this ribosomal RNA (468 nucleotides) under uncultured bacterium. Its description in RNAcentral is "partial 16S ribosomal RNA". It matches the Rfam family "Bacterial small subunit ribosomal RNA", at positions 28 to 507 of the family's 1533-position model. The record is from RNAcentral.
GACGAACGCUGGCGGCGUGCUUAACACAUGCAAGUCGAACGGAAAGGCCCUGCUUUUGUGGGGUGCUCGAGUGGCGAACGGGUGAGUAACACGUGAGUAACCUGCCCUUGACUUUGGGAUAACUUCAGGAAACUGGGGCUAAUACCGGAUAGGAGCUCCUGCUGCAUGGUGGGGGUUGGACAGUUUCGGCGGUUGGGGAUGGACUGGCGGCUUAUCAGCUUGUUGGUUGGGUAGUGGCUUACCAAGGCUUUGACGGGUAGCCGGCCUGAGAGGGUGACCGGCCACAUUGGGACUGAGGUACGGCCCAGAGGGCUACGGGAGGCAGCAGUGGGGAAUAUUGCACAAUGGGCGGAAGCCUGAUGCAGCAACGCCGCGUGCGGGAUGACGGCCUUCGGGUUGUAAACCGCUUUCGCCUGUGACGAAGCGUGAGUGACGGUAAUGGGUAAAGAAGCACCGGCUAACUACGUG